Molecule: long non-coding RNA, 965 nt
Organism: Herpailurus yagouaroundi (jaguarundi)
Lineage: Eukaryota; Metazoa; Chordata; Mammalia; Carnivora; Felidae
Exons: 3
Source: RefSeq, a predicted model, not a curated record
GUAGUAUAGAAGGUUGAUUUUUUUAAAUCCUAUAUUUCAGAAUAGUCCUUCAGCAUGUUUUUAAUAGUGAAAUACAUAGAAGCAUUACCAAAGGUCAAAUAUAAGACCAUCACCACUAUUUUGUUUUGGAACUGCUCGUCAGUUCAGUUAGCUAAGAGAGCAGAAGUUAGAGAACAUAAUUGCUGGUGUUUACUGGACAUCCACUGUGUUUCAGGCACAGUUCUAAGCACUUUUAAAUGUAGUGAAGAAAGUUAAAUCUACCGUUUUAAGCCUGAGAAAAGACAAAAUAAUCAACUGGAAAGCUAUUAGAGGCCAUAGCCAUACAAAGAUGGCUAGAUACAAAAUAAAUACACAGAAUGUCAUUCACUGUCAUUCAUAUUAUAUAGCAAUACAAGUCAUAAAAUAUCCUAGAGAUUAGGAGAUUAGGUUCAACAAGAAAUACGAAGAAAACUAUAAAACUAUAUUGAAAGACAUGAAGAGACUUGAACAUAUGGAAAAAUAUGCUUUCUUCUCAAGUAAGUUUUCACAUAAACUGUAUCACUUCUUAAAGUGAGUUCUAAGUUUGAAACUCUGAAUCAGUGAUAAGCUGAUCUGGGCCAAGAGUUGUUCUCCCACAAAGAUUGAGCAGAACAGUGAAAACCCUGCAAGCGUGGAGCAAACAAAAGGCCUGAGGAAGGUGCACCAGAGCCCCGGGGGCGCCAGCCCGCUCUUCUGCACUCCCUGGGGCCAGUGAGGACGGCCUGAGAGUGGAGACGCGCCUCCCCCUCUAAGGGAAGACAGCACUUCUAUCCGGAAUCUAGACGUUUGCUGUGAUUCCCAUUUAAACUCAGUAGGAUGGUUUUUUUCCCUUGAAAAAUUGCUUCUAAUGAGACUAAUUUUUACUAAGCUGCGCUAAUCAUGUAGACUCAAGACUAGACCAGAGGACAAAACAGAGACCGGAAACACGCCGUGUAGGGACAGAGUGU